AGGUUAAAGAUACAGGAGAGUGGGAGGAAGAACCGACAAGUGAGGUUCCAGAGAGGGCAGGAGAAGAGGAGAUUCCCAUAGGGGGAUUAACACUUUCUUUUCUUUUUUCUUUCUAAGACAGGGUCUCACUCUGUCGCCCAGGCUGGAGUGCAGUGGCACAAUCUUGGCUCACUGUAGUGUAGACUUCCCAGGCUCAAGGGAUUUCUCCCACCCCAGACUCCCAGGUCUCACACUGUCACCCAGCCUGGAGUACAGUGGCACAACCUCUGCUCACUGCAGCCUCCACCUGCCAGGCUCAAGCAAUUCUCCUGCCUCAGCCUCCCGAGUAGCUGGGAUUACAGGUAAGUGCCACCACACCCAGCUGAUUUUUGUGUUUUUUGUAGAGACGAGGUUUCGCCGUGUUUCCCAGACUGUUCUCAAACUCCUGAGCUCAAAGCAGUCCACCCACCUUGGCCUCCCAGAGUGCUGGGAUUACAGUUGAAGCAUAUGUCCUGCGAGCUUAGGGGUGCUACAAGUUGACCACUGCAGCAGUAAAGAUGACUCUGAAGAAUGGCGUGGGAUGGAUCCUUUCAAAUGCACUUGAGCAGCGGUCUCCAACCACAGGGCCACAGAGCUGGAGGGUCUCCCUCUGUUGUCCAAGGCUGGAGGGUAGUACUGCUAUCGCAGCUGAUUGCAGCCUCAACCUUCCAGGCUGAAGCGAUCCUCCCAUCUCAACCUCCCACGUGGCUGAGACUACAGGUGCUUGCCACUAUGCCCAACUAAUACUUGGAAUUUUCGUAUACGUGGAUUCCAGAGAGGUGACAGCGAAACGUGGGAACAUCCAGUUUCAGGAAAACAAGCUUAACACGCCCACUGAUUCUACAUUAUGCUCCUACCUCCCGGCAACCUCGCCAGGCCCAGAACUCUCUCCAGUCAGCCUCUACAGACCAAGCUCAUGACUCACAAUGGCCUAUUUAGGCCCAUACCCUACCUCACGGCAGUCUCCGCAGAUGAGCCUACUGCCUCACAACAGCCUCCACAGGCACAGCUCCAUCGUUACAAUGGCCUCUUUAGACCCAGCUCCUGCCGCCCAGCCUUCUCUCCAGGCCCUGAACUUUCUCCGUGGGACCAUCCAGUUUCAGGAAAACAAGCUUAACACGCCCACUGAUUCUACAUUAUGCUCCUACCUCCCGGCAGCCUCGCCAGGCCCAGAACUCUCUCCAGUCAGCCUCUACAGACCAAGCUCAUGACUCACAAUGGCCUAUUUAGGCCCAUACCCUACCUCACGGCAGUCUCCGCAGAUGAGCCUACUGACUCACAACAGCCUCCACAGGCACAACUCCAUCGUUACAAUGGCCUCUUUAGACCCAGCUCCUGCCGCCCAGCCUUCUCUCCAGGCCCUGAACUUUCUCCGUGGGACCAUCCAGUUUCAGGAAAACAAGCUUAACACGCCCACUGAUUCUACAUUAUGCUCCUACCUCCCGGCAGCCUCGCCAGGCCCAGAACUCUCUCCAGUCAGCCUCUACAGACCAAGCUCAUGACUCACAAUGGCCUAUUUAGGCCCAUACCCUACCUCACGGCAGUCUCCGCAGAUGAGCCUACUGACUCACAACAGCCUCCACAGGCACAACUCCAUCGUUACAAUGGCCUCUUUAGACCCAGCUCCUGCCGCCCAGCCUUCUCUCCAGGCCUUGAACUUUCUCCGUGGGACCAUCCAGUUUCAGGAAAACAAGCUUAACACGCCCACUGAUUCUACAUUAUGAUUCUUCAGGCCCAGCAUCUGCCUCACUGUGGACCCCCCAAGCCAAGCUCCCAACCUUUCAGCAGCUUCUACACACCCAGCUCCCGCCUGCCAGUGGCCUCUUCAGGCCCAUGGGGCUCAUUCCUCACAACAGCCUUUCCAGUCCCAGUUUUUCCCUUCCGGCGGCCUCUCCGGGCUGAGAACCUCCUCAAGUCGGCCUCUCCAGACUCACUUGCACCCUCCAGGCGUCCUCUCCGGGCCAAGCUCCUCUUCCUGGCUGCGUCUCCAGGCCCGACUCCUGCCUCUCAGCAACCUCUUUGGACUCAGUGCCUACCCAUCUCCUGGCGUCCUUGGUCGGCCCAUAGCUUCCUCAAGCCAAGCUCCCCAGGCCCAGGUCAGGCCUCACGGUGCCCCCUCCACGAUGAGCUCCUGCCCUCCAAUGGCACCUGCAGGACCCAAAUGGUCUCCGGUCGGUGGGCUCCUCCACGCCAAGCUUGGGCCUCCCGGUGACCUCUGCAGGCCCAAGUUGUCCUGAAGUCGGCAUCUCCCAGCCAUGCCUCCCAGCAAGUAAGCAAGCUCUUUUGGCUCAACUCCUGCCCAGCUCCCAACCGCCUUUGUAGGUCCCGAACUUUCUCCAGCCAAGUUCUUUGGGCCUCAUUCCUGCCGCCCGGUGGCCUGUACGGGCCCAGCAAUGGUUGGAGAACGGCCUCUGCAGGUCCCGCUCUUGCCUCCCAGGG
Gorilla gorilla gorilla (western lowland gorilla) is the source of this 2457-nucleotide long non-coding RNA. RefSeq lists it as uncharacterized. Lineage: Eukaryota; Metazoa; Chordata; Mammalia; Primates; Hominidae. The transcript is spliced from 12 exons. The record is from RefSeq and is a predicted model, not a curated record.